UGGGGAAUAUUGCACAAUGGGCGAAAGCCUGAUGCAGCGACGCCGCGUGCGGGAUGAAGGCCUUCGGGUUGUAAACCGCUUUUAAUUGGGAGCAAGCGAGAGUGAGUGUACCUUUUGAAUAAGCACCGGCUAACUACGUGCCAGCAGCCGCGGUAAUACGUAGGGUGCAAGCGUUAUCCGGAAUUAUUGGGCGUAAAGAGCUCGUAGGCGGUUUGUCACGCCUGGUGUGAAAGUCCAUCGCUUAACGGUGGAUCUGCGCCGGGUACGGGCAGGCUAGAGUGCAGUAGGGGAGAUUGGAAUUCCCGGUGUAACGGUGGAAUGUGUAGAUAUCGGGAAGAACACCAAUGGCGAAGGCAGAUCUCUGGGCUGUUACUGACGCUGAGGAGCGAAAGCAUGGGGAGCGAACAGGAUUAGAUACCCGUGGUAGUCCAUGCCGUAAAACGGUGGAUGCUGGAU
RNAcentral lists this ribosomal RNA (456 nucleotides) under uncultured bacterium. Its description in RNAcentral is "partial 16S ribosomal RNA". It matches the Rfam family "Bacterial small subunit ribosomal RNA", at positions 355 to 821 of the family's 1533-position model. The record is from RNAcentral.